This 7307-nucleotide long non-coding RNA is filed under the name Equus asinus (donkey). RNAcentral describes it as "lncRNA (ENSEASG00005023872.1)". The record is from RNAcentral. Lineage: Eukaryota; Metazoa; Chordata; Mammalia; Perissodactyla; Equidae.
AGAAGGGCGGCCUGCAUGCUCUCGAUCCUCUCUCAGCCGCCUGUAGCCGGCGUGCAGCCAGCUCUGUGCAGCUCCCAUCUCAACCCGCCCUGCGCCCUGCUCCGUGGCUCCCCACCAAACAUGGGCAGGGAGAAUAUCUCACACCAACUCAUUUCAUCCUCCCCUUAUUUUAUUAAAACAGAAGAGAAAACUUCCAAGUUCAGAGUCCACUCUUUUCUCCCCCUUCCUUCCAGCAAACAGGAGACAUCUGGGGUGGGCAGUGAACAGUGGUGGGGUUUCAGGCUAGGAGAAGCUGCUGGUGGAAGGGAGUCAGGUGGAGCCCCGGCCGAGCUUCCCAGGCCCGCAGACGUCUACGUUUCCCAGGAAGUUGUGAGAACAGAGGAUUUCCCCAGGAAUCCGGGCUGGGCUUGUAAAGAAACAAUCCCAACAUCAAGAAAAGAAACCGGCCAGUAAAUUCCUAGUUAGUUCAUUUUCUAAGACUUCUGAAUGUGUUUUGAAUUUUCUCUAAAUUAAGAUAAUCAUAAAAGGUUAAGAUAUUUAGACAGAGUUCCACCUGAUCCCAGGGCUUGGUUUGUAUGCUUAAUUAGUUCCCGAACAUAUGGUUCAGAGCUUCUUAUAAAAACAGGGUAAUGACUUGAGGUAUAUUUUGGUAUUAGAUGGAACGAUGUUAAAGGGACAUUCAGACCCAUCUCAAAGGCCUUGACCUGCCCUUGAUCUGUGCUGGAAGCUUUUGCUGACAUCUGUUUCAAAGAGAUAUCAAAAAACUUUGCAGUGGCCUCAUGAUAAAACAAAAAUCCAUACGGAGAUAGAUAUCAGGCAUUAAAAUGCUUAGGAUUCAGCAUCGCCCGAGGAAUGUGUGGCCCCAGAACAUCACAGUGGGGGGUUUGUUGAGAGGGGCUCACGCGAAGACGUCGGCGGCCGUGGCUCUGAGCACUGCUGAGAGCACGAGGCCUUGGCUCGAUAUGGAGAGGGAGCAGCUGGGUCACAAAUGUCCCCAGGGCCCUUUGUUCUCUCGUGUGUUUCAGUCCCUGGUAAUAAAUCAGGUGCUCCUGUGUGCGGAACCAGCAGUUGCUUCCCCAGCUCCCAUGCAACCCCACUCUUCCCCAGCCCCACCCAGGAAGGCGCUUUAGGAGACUCCCCGCCACAGGAGUGAGGCGUCGCACCGACUCAUCCGCAGUCAUCCUCGUAUAUGUGUGUAUAUAUUACAUAUAUAAUCUUAUAUAUGUAUAUGCUCUGCAUAACACGGCUUCCAGACAGGCCCCUCCCCGACUUCCAGUUGGAUUUCUGCCACUAAGCCCUUCCCACAUAGGUGUUCUGGGUUCAUUCCAUCUGUGAAAACUUGGGCCAUGGAUGGGAAAUGUUCCCAUUAGACAGAGUCACCUAGGGCCGUAAAACAGGCCCCAGAGGGCAUUGGGUGCAUCUCUUUGGCUUCGGUGUACCAACAUUCCACCCACAUUCCUUCAUUCAUCUGUCUGGUCACGCAUCCUUUUAACCAGGACUCAUGGGGCACCUAUGGUGAGGCGGGGCAUGAGGUGCUAGGAAAAAACAGAGCUGAUUUAAGUAUAGUCCUGCCCUCCAGGAGCUCACGAUCUAAGGAGAGAAGGCAGACAUGGGGGGACAAGCAUUAAGUGAGGCCAGCCCCGGUGUCUGAGAGGGUGUGAGCACACGAUAUGGGAAGCAGAAGAGGAGGAGAUCAUUUCGGGCAGGCGGGAGAGAGCAGCUUCACAGAGGACAUGGAGGUUGCCCUGGGUUCUGAAUGAUGUGCCCGUUUGGACAAUGGGGAUGGAGGGUGACAAGGCAAUCCAGGUGGGGGGAAUGGCAGGAACAAAGGCCCAGAGAAAGGAAACCACUCCAUGGUUUCAAAAACGUGGUCCAAAAACAGCGAGUCACUUUCCAGCUUGCAAACAGCAUACACAUCCCCACUCCUCUGAUCUUCAAGCAUCCUUGUGAAGCUAGUAAGGCAGGUAUAAUUAGUUCCACUUUAUACGUAAGAAAACCAAGGUGCGUAGAGGUUGUAUGAUUUUUCCAAAGGUUUCAGAGCUCGGAUGCAGUGGAACCCAGAUUCAAACUCAAGCUCAAGCUUCCCAGAUCUACAUAAGGCUGAAAAGUUAAGAAAAGGUCAGACUACCAAGGGUCUUAAAUGCUGAGGAGGUUGCCAUCUCCUCUGCAGCCUCUGGGAGCCACUGAGGACUCUGAGCAGGGCUGGAAGAUCCCCUGGGCAGCUGUGAGCAGAAGAAGCCAGAGCAGAAAGAAGCUGGAAGCAGGAAGAUGAAGCAAGAAGCUGUGGCAGUCCCUCAGAGGUCAUUAGACCCAACCUGGGCCGCGGGCCAGAGGAGGAAGGAGAACACGGAUGCAAGAAGGGGAAGUUAGACUGCUCCCAUGCAGAGGGCAGGGAAGACGCUGCCUCUGCAGCUCUGCUUCCAAGGGGCUGGCUCCGUCUCCUCCCAAAGUCGGCUGGGCCCUGAGCAUCAAUGGCAGCUACAGUUUAGAGUGCUUACAAUGAGCAGGGCACUUUGGCAUGUAUUUCCUCAUUUAAAUCCUCAUGACAACCCUGUGAAGCGGCUUGCUCAUUUUACAGAUGAGCAAACUGAGGCACACAGUGAAGGAACUUGGCCAUGGUUGCCCAGGGAGGAAACGGCUUAGACUGGAAUGUGAACAGGUCCUCCCACCCCAAGCCUGAAUGCCUGAUCACUACCUACAACCUCCCCAUUAGGUCUUACAGGCCACUCCGAUGGCCAGGCAUGGGGUGGCUCCUGUCACCCAUCAGAGGGCAUCUGCCUAGCUGCCCUUGGCCUACAAAAGCCUCCCCAAUCUGGCCCAAAGUUACCUCCUUCCUUUGUUCCCUCCCCCUGGGUCCCGAGGGAUCCUGCUGCCACAGCCCAGCAGGCAGGAGGCCAGAUCCAGGCUGAGAUACAGAGAGAGAGUCUCUGUGAGCCGAGACCCAGCCUGGGGCGUCACAGCAGGAGACGUCAAAGCUGGGCCAAGCUCAGUGGGACGGAGAUCAAAGCCAGCAGGGGGUGGCAGAGCAACAAGGAACAGAAAGGAGCAGGGGUGAGGCCGGUCCCAUAUCAUUCCUGUGGCUGCACGGAUGGGCUGGGGCCUCUUUGAAGGUCUGAGACAUCUGCAACCCUGGGUGCCAGACAGAAGGCCUCCUCUCCUCCCUGGUCCCCUUGUGGGGGGCUGGGGGCCCGUGGCGGUCGAGAAGUUGUCUGUGAGUAAAUGAGAAUUCAGUCUCCCAACCCGGCCACAGUGACCUCUCCUCCUGGGAAUCCCUUCAGCUUGCUGCCUGGUGGCAGCACCUCAGGACGCCGGGUCCACAUCCAUGCUCUCUGGUGUGGCUGCUUUCAUUUUCCUGGGUGGGUGUGGAUCCCUCGUGGCUUGCUCUGGUAUACUCUUCAUGGCUCUGGGCAUCACACCAUGCACAGUGUAGGACUUCCAGAAAUCCUUGAGACCUGCCUGAUGGAGAGAUACAUCCUUCGUAUGGUCCAAGGACCAUAAAAGCACCCAGGAGGGACAUUUACUGAGAGCCAGGGUGGUACACGGCAUGGGAAGAAUGCUGUCCAGGGAGCCCAGACCCAAGGUUCCAUCUGGCUUUGCCACUGACUUCCAAAACAAGCCGCAUCACCUCAGUUUCCCCAUCCAUGGCACUAAAGAAGGGCUCGCCGUCCUAAAGUUUCUGCAAAGUUCCCACCUGCCAAACUGAGGCAUGUGGUACUUCCUCAGCCUCACCUUACCCCUUGAGAGAUGGUCAAAUGCAGGGGCUCCUUAUCUUCGCCCAUGGGCCAUCUCUUGAUCAGUUCUUAGUUCUGGGUCACCUCCUCCAAGAGGCCUUCCCUGACCACCCAGACUCCAACAGCCCCCUGCCCUCUCCCAGGCCAUCUCAACGGGGCUGCCCUGUUUGUGCUCUCCAUCUUACCUCUUCCUGUCUGGGUAUUUUUCCACUUGCUUGUUAACUGUCUCCCUGAAUAGAAGUUCCGGAACAGUAGGGAGCUGGCCGAGCAUGCCUCUGCUGCUCCCUGUUCUGUCUCCAGAGCCCAGGAGAGAGACUGGCAUGGAUCAGUUCUAGCUGCAGUCCUGCCAUUUGGGCAGCUUCUGGCCACCAUGAGAGAAUCGGUGUCACCAUGUCCAGCUGAUGUCAUUCCAGAUCACUACAAAGGAAUGUGGAGUGUCCAUCAGCCCAACUGACCUUGUUUGGAGUAACUACACCAUUUCAUGAGACUCAGAAAUUGCAAAAAUGCUCAGGAAUCCACAGAAGAAUCUCAGCCAGGCCCGGAGCCCCGGGAUCCCUGGACUGUGUAUUUCACUCUUGCCAGGGGUGCUGGUGCCAGAGGUCAGCGAGCUUUCACCUCCAUCCCUCCUCACUGCAGGCCGCUUCAGAGCCCCUCAGCCCAGCCGCAGUGCUGAGGCCGAGGAGGGAGGAAGAAGAGGACAGCUCCUGGGAGAGGCCACUCGGUGUCUGGCCCUCCAAAUGCAUGGAGUACAGAAACUUGGCUGGGCGCAGAAGCACCUCGUGACUGUGCAAAGCAAGUCCAGAUGGCAUGAGAUACACCACCACUGAUGCCAAGAAAUCCUGGGUGUGCCCCUUGGGGUGUCCCCUCCGAGGGCAGCCACAGCCCGGGCAUGGUGCACUCCUGACCAGUGGCCAAAGGCGCACAGAACCAGCAGCCUGCAAAGAAAAUUUGGUGAAUGCGGUUAGAUCAUGUCAACUUUAAUGUGCUUCCAGAGUAUUAACAACAACUCUGCAAGGUACCAAGGUACCAAGGUACCGUGUGACUCUUCAAAAGCUUCCCACAGGCCAUGUGUCCUUUAAGCCUCAUUCGAGAGAAAGACAGAACAGAUACCAUGGGUAUUGCAAAAGAUACUGUGACAAAUCUGAGGUCCAGCAAGAUGGCGGUGGAGAUGCGAGGACUUGAGCCUAGUUACUCACACCAGGCCUCAUCCAGAGGAUGCACACAGGGACUGUGUACCAUGAAGAGGCUGUCCGGAACUUAGGAGCAGGGUCAGCCCACACAGUGGGGCAGAUUGUGCACUGCAUCAGGGCAUCCCUACCAAAGGGGUCCCAAUCACAUCUUGGACAUGGUAGAUCUGCAUGUUUAUUCCAUUUCUCUGGAUUGCAAUAAAGUGUCUAUUCUAAUAAAAUCAGUAUAAUACUUUCCCAACUGACAGAAGUAACAUGUCUUGGGAAAGGGUCCUCUUUUUCUAACCUGCACAGAGGUCCUGCAUGACUGGCAGCAACCCUGAUAGAAGCCACCCAUAUCUGGGAAGGCUGUACUUUUCUGGAAAGAAGCCAAAAGGAAGAGUGGUCGUCUUGCUACUCCCCCAGAAAUUCAGCUGCCCUAAUGGCAGAGGAAUCUGGGAAAGGGAGCAUGCAGGAUAUGUCUGUCUACAAAUCAACAAGACAAAAGACAAACAGUCUCAGAGGAAAAUGGGCAAAGGGCUUAUCCACUGACUCACAGAGGAGAAAAAGGCAGGGAACGCGUGAAGGUUGGUUGUGGCCACUUGUCAUUGUUCAUCCUGCACAGCACCCCAACUCCGUUCCUCCUGACCCUAGCUGACCUUCCAGGACACAGCAGCCUUUCACCGUUGCAAGUUGUCAUGGAGGGAGGCAGGUCCCCCGUCCCACAAUGGAAGCCCAAGGGGGCAAUUCCUCCCUCUCCACACCCUGGGGUCUUGGAGACCAGGCACAGGAACAUACUUGGCAUUUGGAUUUUGGGGUAUGUGACAGAUCCCAUGUAUGCAGUCCUCAGCUUCACGUUGUCAAAGGGAACAUAAAUCAACAAAGAGACGCGUUUUGCACCCAUCAGACUAACAUAAGUUGAAAUAAUUGAUGAUAUCCUUGGCAGUGAGGCUGCAGGGAAACAUGCUCUUGUGCACUGAUGGUGAAAAUGUAAGUUGCACAGGUUCCUUGGAGGAGGAGUGGCAGUAUUUACGACAAAGCACCUGCUCUCCCACUCAGUGCUCUCACUUCUAGUAAUCCACUCUGGAGAAAUUGUCACGCAUGUGCACAAAGAUAUAUAGACAAAAAUAUUCAUUGUAAUAAUGAAAAAUUAGAGAUGAACUCAAUAUCCAGAAGUAGGAGGAAGGAGAACAGGCAGGCAGGGGUGAGGAAGACUGGACCGUGCUCUAUGCACUAACGUGAAAAUCUUCAGAGACACAUCUACCAACGACAGCUGACAAGUUUACCCUCCUAUAAGCACAAACACAAACGAAGAUUGUACUUCUGAUUGUACCCACAAUGCAAACACGUGGGGAAAGGUCUGAAUAGACACUCUACAGAUGGUUAACAGUAGUUGCUGCCAGGAAGAGAAGUGGAAUUUCGCUGUAUUUAUUCAGACUUUCACAAAUGAGUCUCCCUCUGUCUAUCCUUAUGUUCCUGGAGAGCCAUGUGGUUAGGCUCAUGGACUCUUGGGUUGAGCUGCCUUGAGUUCAAAUCCUGAUCUUACUGUUUUCUUAAAUGUCUGACUUUGGGCUCCUGAUCUGAGCGUUAAUUUUCUUUUCUGUUCUUUUCUUUUGAGGAAUAUUAGCCCUGAACUAACUACUGCCAAUCCUCCUCUUUUUGCUGAGGAAGCCUGGCCCUGAGUUAACAUCUGUGCCCAUCUUCCUCUACUUUAUAUGUGGGACUCCUGCCACAGCAUGGUUUGCCAAGCAGUGCCAUGUCCGCACCCGGGAUCCGAACCGGCAAACCCCAGGCCACCGAGAAGCGAAACGUGCAAGCUUAACAUCUGCGUCACUGGCCCGGCCCCAGCAUUAAUUUUCUUAACUGAGGAAAUCCAUAUAAUGUGCUUAGCACAAUGCCUAGCAUAUGAGAGUGGCUCUAUAAGCAUCUUAUUAUCUUGGCAUCUCUGCUGUCUCCCAGCCCCCAACCCUUUCAAAGCCACAGUAGAUGCUAAUAAAUGUUUGAUGAAUGAAUAAGCUUGCUGAUGGUAAGACUAUCUCCCUGAGGUCUAAAAAUGUGGAAAAGAAUAUGCUUAAAGAGGCCGAAUCUUACUAGUCUCACUUUUCCUCCGACUUAGUGUUUUUCACACUGUAGGUUAUAAUCAAUUAGGGGGUCAUACAUCAAUCUAGUGGGUAGCAAUCGACAUUUAAAAAAUACAGAAUAGAAAAUAUCAAAAUGUAAGUAAGAACAAGUAUUGUUUCCUGAAACUCGUUUUGUGGAUGUGUGUACUUGGUUGCAAUGUAAAUUGUAUUUUUUAAUGUUAAUCAUAGUAAAAAUUACAUGAGGAAACCCUGCUUCCAGCAGCCUUCCUUAGUUCAGUCUAGUCUAGUUCAGUGCUAAAGGUCAUGGGCCAGGGAGAGGCGGAGGUUCC